RNAcentral lists this long non-coding RNA (846 nucleotides) under Malus domestica (apple). Its description in RNAcentral is "long non-coding RNA (MDOM_LNC008439)". Lineage: Eukaryota; Viridiplantae; Streptophyta; Magnoliopsida; Rosales; Rosaceae. The record is from RNAcentral.
UCCUUUAUUACGCUCGAUACUUCGGCCGAAGAUUCCCGAAUCAUAUCUUAGAGUAUUCUUCCUCUCUUACCGAGGAUUAGAGAUUCCUUGUUGCGCAUUCACUUGCCUUCAUGACUAAGUGGCUUAACCCCAAUUAUGCCGUGGACAUCCGCGAAUGGGGUGACUUUGACAUAAUCAAAGAUUAAGUACUUAGCCACAAGACAACGACGAUGCCUCAGGUCAAAUGACUACUUACAUUAUUCCAACCAUUAGAGUUACUUGCUUGACAUGUGAGUAGACCUCCAUGCAAGUACUCUCAUUCGAUUGUGUUCAGUGAACUCAUUCUCUUAAUGAGCACCUACAUACUUGUCUUAGUGUCACAACACAAAUGGGAUGAGACUUUCCAUCCUUCCAUUUGAAGCGGACACAGUAUGUACCGGUCUAAGCAUUGUCAGUUUCCCUCCGACAAUCCAAUGACUAGGAACCUUUUGGACAUAAUGGUUAUUUGAAGAAGGUCUCUGUAGUCUAACAUCAUUAGAUUACUUCUUCAAUUGAUCCAUUGUCCAUGGAUACACUAUUUAGGACAUAUAUCGUUUAUUGAGAUAGUCCUAAUUCAUGUCUUUCUUCCAAAGAUUAACUUUCAGGGCAUAUUUCCAACACCUAACAUGUAAUAUUUUUUCGGUUCAGACUCGUUAUAGUAAAGUUAACAAGAGAAAGUGAUCGAGUCUUACGAAAGCUGAAGUCGUUUCUUAAUGGGGAAUGUCGAGGUCUUGAUCCUGCGGGUGAAUUGGUGUUUCUGUCGUCACUUCAAGCUCAACUUGAGGCAUUUUUCCACGAUCGACUGCAGGAGGAUCGACCUGGUCAAUC